This 280-nucleotide unclassified non-coding RNA is filed under the name Nakazawaea ernobii. Its description in RNAcentral is "partial internal transcribed spacer region". The stretch from base 1 to 46 matches the Rfam family "Eukaryotic small subunit ribosomal RNA", at positions 1786 to 1831 of the family's 1831-position model. The record is from RNAcentral. Lineage: Eukaryota; Fungi; Ascomycota; Pichiomycetes; Alaninales; Pachysolenaceae.
AAGUCGUAUCAAGGUUUCCGUAGGUGAACCUGCGGAAGGAUCAUUACAGUAUUCUAUUGCCAGCGCUUAACUGCGCGGCGAUAAACCUUUCACACUUUGUUUUUGUUAUUAAAGACACCAUUGCUUUGGUGGAUGAGUGUAAAAGCUUUUUCCACCAGAGGUUAACUAAACUCAAACUUAUUUAAAUUUUUAAUUUACUUAAUUGUCAUCGAACAUUUGUCUGAUUAACUUCAGAACAAACAAAUAUUCAAAACUUUCAACAACGGAUCUCUUGGUUCUC